AACGCACAUUGCGCCCCUUGGUAUUCCGAGGGGCAUGUCUGUUCGAGCGUCAUUAUAACCACUCAAGCUAGGCUUGGUAUUGGGGCUCGCACCUGCGGCCCCUAAAAUCAGUGGCGGUGCCGGCUGGCUCUAAGCGUAGUAAUACUCCUCGCUAUAGGGUCCUCCCGGUUGCUCGCCAACCACCUCUAAUUUUCUCAGGUUGACCUCGGAUCAGAUAGGGAUACCCGCUGAACUUAA
Molecule: unclassified non-coding RNA, 237 nt
Filed under: uncultured Helotiales
Lineage: Eukaryota; Fungi; Ascomycota; Leotiomycetes; Helotiales
Description: sequence contains ITS2
Rfam family: 5.8S ribosomal RNA (bases 1-52)
Source: RNAcentral